GCAGCCGCGGUAAUACGUAGGUGGCAAGCGUUGUCCGGAAUUACUGGGUGUAAAGGGAGCGCAGGCGGGCGAGCAAGUUGGAAGUGAAAAUCAUGGGCUUAACCCAUGACCUGCUUUCAAAACUGCUUGUCUUGAGUGGUGUAGAGGUAGGCGGAAUUCCCGGUGUAGCGGUGGAAUGCGUAGAUAUCGGGAGGAACACCAGUGGCGAAGGCGGCCUACUGGGCACUAACUGACGCUGAGGCUCGAAAGCAUGGGUAGCAAACAGGAUUAGAUACCCC
This 278-nucleotide ribosomal RNA is filed under the name uncultured rumen bacterium. RNAcentral describes it as "partial 16S ribosomal RNA". It matches the Rfam family "Bacterial small subunit ribosomal RNA", at positions 511 to 788 of the family's 1533-position model. The record is from RNAcentral.